AGUGAACGCUGGCGGCGUGCUUAACACAUGCAAGUCGAACGAGAACGGGUUAUAGCUUGCUAUAAUUGUCAGCUAAGUGGCGCACGGGUGAGUAAUGUAUAGGUAAUAUGCCUCUUACUAAGGGAUAACAAAUGGAAACGUUUGCUAAUACCUUAUACUCCUUAUUAACAGAAGUCAAUAAGGGAAAGAUUUAUUGGUAAGAGAUUAGCCUGUAUUGUAUCAGUUAGUUGGUGAGGUAAUGGCUUACCAAGACUAUGACACAUAACUGGUUUGAGGGGAUGAUCAGUCACACUGGAACUGAGACACGGUCCAGACUCCUACGGGAGGCAGCAGUGGGGAAUAUUGCACAAUGGACGAAAGUCUGAUGCAGCAACGCCGCGUGGAGGAUGACACAUUUCGGUGCGUAAACUCCUUUUAUAUGAGAAGAUAAUGACGGUAUUAUAUGAAUAAGCACCGGCUAACUCCGUGCCAGCAGCCGCCGUAA
This 484-nucleotide ribosomal RNA is filed under the name uncultured bacterium. Its description in RNAcentral is "partial 16S ribosomal RNA". It matches the Rfam family "Bacterial small subunit ribosomal RNA", at positions 29 to 523 of the family's 1533-position model. The record is from RNAcentral.